This is a long non-coding RNA of Leptopilina boulardi, 928 nucleotides long. RefSeq lists it as uncharacterized. The transcript is spliced from 3 exons. The record is from RefSeq and is a predicted model, not a curated record. NCBI's taxonomy places the organism in Eukaryota, Metazoa, Arthropoda, Insecta, Hymenoptera, Figitidae.
CUAAGCGCGAAUAUCUCUCGAGAACGAAAAUCUUUAAAAUUUGCCGGUACUUAAAAUCCAUUGAAAAAAAAACAAAAAAAAACACCUAUUUUCGUUAUAACUUUAAAGUUAUAACUAAUCAUAUUAAAGUCGAUGAUUACCCGUUUGCCGUGCACACACAUACACAACAAGAAUGCUGCCUUAUUUUAUGCAAAGAUGUUCAGAAAACCACUUGCAAUCCAAUUUGAGCCUAUAUAUAACGACAACGAUUUGGUAUAUAUAUAUAUACACAUAUAUUUAUUGACUGAAAAUUCACGGAUGGUGAUUUUGGAGUCUCUUGGAAUGGCGAAUGUAGGUGAAUUAAGGCUGCAGAUCCUCCUCGACCGACAUAGAUCGUGAUCGUUCCUUCGUCUCUCGGAAUUGGGCUGGAAAUGCGAGAGAGAAAGAGAAAGAAAAAAAAGAGAGGUACCCAUUAAGAACCACUGUGGCACCUGACUGCGGUUGCAAUUGAAGUACACAUUGUCGCUCUGGGCUGGUCCGUGGAAGAACAAAAAAAAAAAAAAAAAAAAAAUGUCGGAGAAAUGUGGAUUCGAUCUCGCAUAAUUUAUGAAGAAGUCAAGUGAAAAAGAAAUUUGGUCCAAAAGAACAAGAAAUCUAGGUCUCAAGGAAAUGUGUACAACGAGGGGGAAUUUACUCAGGUAGUCAAGUGUACACUCUUCCUGUAAUACUUGUGUAAUAAUGUGUAAUACCGUGUAAUAAUGCGUUAUUACGGUGCUGUAAUAACGCAAAAAACUCUGUAAUAUCUCUGUAAUAAUGUGUAAUACUCUGUAAUAACGUGUAAUAACUUAGUAAUAAAGGUAAUAUGAGGUGUAAUACCGGUAGUCAAGUGUACACGUUUUUAACUAGUAAAUUCCCCCUCGGUGUACAAUUUCAUAAUUUAUACUGAAUA